GCAGGAGAAGGUGGUGGGGGUGUUGCCUCUGAUGGUUAAAAGGAAAGAGACAGAUAGAGAUUUUGAGAGGUGGAAGCAGAAGCAGGGUUGAAUCUUUGAGUCUUUGAACUAGAGGCAAUAACUAAAUGAGAUAGAUAGACAAGGUGAAAGAAAGGGAAGGAAGUGAGCGUGGUGUUUUCUUUAAGAAAGAGAGAGGGAGAGAGAGUGAGUGUUUGUGGGGGCUUUGUAUUGUGGGGUGCAAGGAGAUAUGCACAAAACCAAGCCAACAUCAAUACCCACUUAUUGUUUCUCUGCACUUUACCGUAUCCCAAAAGCUUUUUCUUGGAUUCUUGGUGGUCGAUAAGGGAAUAUAGUUUCAAGCUUAAGGUCAUCUUUGAACAUCUGUCUUCUUUAUCUGAAGGUAUAGGCUUGACGAUGGGGGUUUCGCAACAGAAUUUUCACGGUGCCAAGAAAUUGACUUUUCACUUUCAAGACCAGGAUUCUUCUUCAACUCAG
RNAcentral lists this unclassified non-coding RNA (495 nucleotides) under Hevea brasiliensis (rubber tree). Lineage: Eukaryota; Viridiplantae; Streptophyta; Magnoliopsida; Malpighiales; Euphorbiaceae. The record is from RNAcentral.